GACGAACGCUGGCGGCGUGCUUAACACAUGCAAGUCGAACGGAAAGGCCCUGCUUUUGUGGGGUGCUCGAGUGGCGAACGGGUGUGUAACACGUGAGUAACCUGCCCUUGACUUUGGGAUAACUUCAGGAAACUGGGGCUCAUAUCGGAUAUGAGCUCCUGCUGCAUGGUGUGGGUUGGAAAGUUUCGGCGUUUCGGGAUGGACUCGCGGCUUAUCAGCUUGUUGGUGGGGUAGUGGCUUACCAAGGCUUUGACGGGUAGCCGGCCUGGGAGGGUGACCGGCCAAAGUGGGACUGGGAUGCGGCCCAGAGGAAUACGGGAGGAAGGAGGGGAGAAUAUUGCACAAAGGGCGGAAGCCUGAAGCAGGAACGCCGAGUGGGGAACGACGGCCUUAGGGUAGGAAACCGCUUUCGCCUGAGACGAAGCGUGGGGGAGGGAAAUGGGUAAAGAAGCACGGGCAAAUUAGGG
Molecule: ribosomal RNA, 467 nt
Filed under: uncultured bacterium
Lineage: Bacteria
Description: partial 16S ribosomal RNA
Rfam family: Bacterial small subunit ribosomal RNA
Source: RNAcentral